This 455-nucleotide ribosomal RNA is filed under the name uncultured bacterium. RNAcentral describes it as "SSU rRNA". It matches the Rfam family "Bacterial small subunit ribosomal RNA", at positions 26 to 518 of the family's 1533-position model. The record is from RNAcentral.
AGGAUGAACGCUGGCGGCGUGCCUAAUACAUGCAAGUCGAGCGGUAAGGCCCCUUCGGGGGUACACGAGCGGCGGACGGCUGAGUAACACGUAGGAACGUACCCCAAACUGAGGGAUAAGCACCAGAAAUGGUGUCUAAUACCGCAUGUGGUCUUCGGAUUAAAGCUUCGGCGGUUUGGGAACGGCCUGCGCAUGAUUAGCUUGUUGGUGAGGUAAAAGCUUACCAAGGCGACGAUCAUUAGCUGGUCUGAGAGGAUGAUCAGCCAGACUGGGACUGAGAACGGCCCAGACUCCUACGGGAGGCAGCAGUAGGGAAUUUUCCACAAUGGGCGAAAGCCUGAUGGAGCAACGCCGCGUGCAGGACGAAGGCCUUCGGGUCGUAAACUGCUUUUAUAUGUGAAGAUUAUGACGGUAGCAUAUGAAUAAGGAUCGGCUAACUCCGUGCCAGCAGCCGC